GAUGAACGCUGGCGGCGUGCCUAAUACAUGCAAGUCGAGCGAACGGACGAGAAGCUUGCUUCUCUGAUGUUAGCGGCGGACGGGUGAGUAACACGUGGAUAACCUACCUAUAAGACUGGGAUAACUUCGGGAAACCGGAGCUAAUACCGGAUAAUAUUUUGAACCGCAUGGUUCAAAAGUGAAAGACGGUCUUGCUGUCACUUAUAGAUGGAUCCGCGCUGCAUUAGCUAGUUGGUAAGGUAACGGCUUACCAAGGCAACGAUGCAUAGCCGACCUGAGAGGGUGAUCGGCCACACUGGAACUGAGACACGGUCCAGACUCCUACGGGAGGCAGCAGUAAGGAAUCCUCCGCAAUGGGCGAAAGCCUGACGGAGCCACGCCCCGUGAGUGAUGAAGGUCUUCGGAUCGUAAAACUCUGUUAUUAGGGAAGAACAUAUGUGUAAGUAACUGUGCACAUCUUGACGGUACCUAAUCAGAAAGCCACGGCUAACUACGUGCCAGCAGCCGCGGUAAUACGUAGGUGGCAAGCGUUAUCCGGAAUUAUUGGGCGUAAAGCGCGCGUAGGCGGUUUUUUAAGUCUGAUGUGAAAGCCCACGGCUCAACCGUGGAGGGUCAUUGGAAACUGGAAAACUUGAGUGCAGAAGAGGAAAGUGGUAUUCCAUGUGUAGCGGUGAAAUGCGCAGAGAUAUGGAGGAACACCAGUGGCGAAGGCGACUUUCUGGUCUGUAACUGACGCUGAUGUGCGAAAGCGUGGGGAUCAAACAGGAUUAGAUACCCUGGUAGUCCACGCCGUAAACGAUGAGUGCUAAGUGUUAGGGGGUUUCCGCCCCUUAGUGCUGCAGCUAACGCAUUAAGCACUCCGCCUGGGGAGUACGACCGCAAGGUUGAAACUCAAAGGAAUUGACGGGGACCCGCACAAGCGGUGGAGCAUGUGGUUUAAUUCGAAGCAACGCGAAGAACCUUACCAAAUCUUGACAUCCUUUGACAACUCUAGAGAUAGAGCCUUCCCCUUCGGGGGACAAAGUGACAGGUGGUGCAUGGUUGUCGUCAGCUCGUGUCGUGAGAUGUUGGGUUAAGUCCCGCAACGAGCGCAACCCUUAAGCUUAGUUGCCAUCAUUAAGUUGGGCACUCUAAGUUGACUGCCGGUGACAAACCGGAGGAAGGUGGGGAUGACGUCAAAUCAUCAUGCCCCUUAUGAUUUGGGCUACACACGUGCUACAAUGGACAAUACAAAGGGCAGCGAAACCGCGAGGUCAAGCAAAUCCCAUAAAGUUGUUCUCAGUUCGGAUUGUAGUCUGCAACUCGACUACAUGAAGCUGGAAUCGCUAGUAAUCGUAGAUCAGCAUGCUACGGUGAAUACGUUCCCGGGUCU
RNAcentral lists this ribosomal RNA (1372 nucleotides) under uncultured bacterium. Its description in RNAcentral is "bacterial SSU rRNA". It matches the Rfam family "Bacterial small subunit ribosomal RNA", at positions 28 to 1381 of the family's 1533-position model. The record is from RNAcentral.